RNAcentral lists this ribosomal RNA (440 nucleotides) under uncultured bacterium. RNAcentral's name for it is "partial 16S ribosomal RNA". It matches the Rfam family "Bacterial small subunit ribosomal RNA", at positions 338 to 795 of the family's 1533-position model. The record is from RNAcentral.
CCUACGGGUGGCAGCAGUGGGGGAUAUUGCACAAUGGGGGGAACCCUGAUGCAGCGAAGCCGCGUGGGUGAAGAAGGGCCUCGGCGCGUAAAGCCCUGUCAGCAGGGAAGAAAAUGACGGUACCUGAAGAAGAAGCCCCGGCUAACUACGUGCCAGCAGCCGCGGUGAUACGUAGGGGGCAAGCGUUAACCGGAAUUACUGGGUGUAAAGGGGGCGGAGACGGCGAUGCAAGCCAGGCGGGAAAGCCGGGGGCCCAACCCCGGGACCGCUGUUGGCACUGGGGGGCUGGAGUGUAGGAGGGGCAGGCGGAAUGCGUGGUGUAGCGGUGAAAUGCGUAGAUAUCAGGAGGAACACCGGUGGCGAAGGCGGCCUGCUGGACUGCAACUGACGUUGAGGCCCGAAAGCGUGGGGAGCGAACAGGAUUAGAUACCCGAGUAGUC